GACGAACGCUGGCGGCGUGCUUAACACAUGCAAGUCGAACGGAAAGGCCCUGCUUUUGUGGUGUGCUCGAGUGGCGAACGGGUGAGUAACACGUGAGUAACCUGCCCUUGACUUUGGGAUAACUUCAGGAAACUGGGGCUAAUACCGGAUAGGAGCUCCUGCUGCAUGGUGGGGGUUGGAAAGUUUCGGCGGUUGGGGAUGGACUCGCGGCUUAUCAGCUUGUUGGUGGGGUAGUGGCUUACCAAGGCUUUGACGGGUAGCCGGCCUGAGAGGGUGACCGGCCACAUUGGGACUGAGAUACGGACCAGACUGCUACGGGAGGCAGCAGUGGGGAAUAUUGCACAAUGGGCGGAAGCCUGAUGCAGAAACGCCGCGUGCGGGAUGACGGCCUGCGGGUUGUAAACCGCUUUCGCCUGUGACGAAGCGUGAGUGACGGUAAUGGGUAAAGAAGCACCGGCUAACUACGUG
This 468-nucleotide ribosomal RNA is filed under the name uncultured bacterium. RNAcentral describes it as "partial 16S ribosomal RNA". It matches the Rfam family "Bacterial small subunit ribosomal RNA", at positions 28 to 507 of the family's 1533-position model. The record is from RNAcentral.